RNAcentral lists this unclassified non-coding RNA (402 nucleotides) under Hevea brasiliensis (rubber tree). The record is from RNAcentral. Lineage: Eukaryota; Viridiplantae; Streptophyta; Magnoliopsida; Malpighiales; Euphorbiaceae.
AAAGCAUCAAUUAUAUUCAAUGAAAACCUUAUUGUAACAAGCAUCUGCAUCCCUACUUUUCAUUGACAUAAAAUUGUACACCUCUAAAAUGGAAAUAAAGAGACAGCUCUGAUGAUAACUACCAAUUCAAUGAAUACUGAAGCUAAAACUGUUGGCAGCAGCUGCAACUGCCCCACAAAUAAUGUUUGCUCAAAACAGUACAAAGAGUCCCUUGACCUUCAGACCAAACGAAGUUGACCUAGAAAACUCGCCCUUGUGUAAGAUUUGAUGAUACACCCUUCAAUUCAAUUACCCAACUGUCAACCCAAAUCCAAAUUUGUAGUCUUUCUUCUUAUGAUCUAACUCAGCGGAAAGAAUAAAAUUGAGACCCAUAUUUAAACGCUCCUCCAAGAAGGCCGCUGC